GAUGAACGCUGGCGGCGUGCCUAAUACAUGCAAGUCGAGCGAACGGACGAGAAGCUUGCUUCUCUGAUGUUAGCGGCGGACGGGUGAGUAACACGUGGAUAACCUACCUAUAAGACUGGGAUAACUUCGGGAAACCGUAGCUAAUACCGGAUAAUAUUUUGAACCGCAUGGUUCAAAAGUGAAAGACGGUCUUGCUGUCACUUAUAGAUGGAUCCGCGCUGCAUUAGCUAGUUGGUAAGGUAACGGCUUACCAAGGCAACGAUGCAUAGCCGACCUGAGAGGGUGAUCGGCCACACUGGAACUGAGACACGGUCCAGACUCCUACGGGAGGCAGCAGUAGGGAAUCUUCCGCAAUGGGCGAAAGCCUGACGGAGCAACGCCGCGUGAGUGAUGAAGGUCUUCGGAUCGUAAAACUCUGUUAUUAGGGAAGAACAUAUGUGUAAGUAACUGUGCACAUCUUAACGGUACCUAAUCAGAAAGCCACGGCUAACUACGUG
RNAcentral lists this ribosomal RNA (497 nucleotides) under uncultured bacterium. Its description in RNAcentral is "partial 16S ribosomal RNA". It matches the Rfam family "Bacterial small subunit ribosomal RNA", at positions 28 to 507 of the family's 1533-position model. The record is from RNAcentral.